This 515-nucleotide ribosomal RNA is filed under the name uncultured Glomus. Its description in RNAcentral is "SSU rRNA". It matches the Rfam family "Eukaryotic small subunit ribosomal RNA", at positions 569 to 1088 of the family's 1831-position model. Lineage: Eukaryota; Fungi; Glomeromycota; Glomeromycetes; Glomerales; Glomeraceae. The record is from RNAcentral.
AGCAGCCGCGGUAAUUCCAGCUCCAAUAGCGUAUAUUAAAGUUGCUGCAGUUAAAAAGCUCGUAGUUGAAUUUCGGGACCAUCAUGUCGGUCGUGCCUCGGUACGUACUGGCAUUGUUGGUUUCUCCCUUCUGACGAACCAUGAUGUCAUUUAUUUGGUGUCGUGGGAAAUCAGGACUGUUACUUUGAAAAAAUUGAGUGUUUAAAGCAGGCUCACGCUUGAAUACAUUAGCAUGGAAUAAUGAAAUAGGACGUUUGAUUCUAUUUUGUUGGUUUCUAGGAUCGACGUAAUGAUUAAUAGGGAUAGUUGGGGCAUUAGUAUUCAAUUGUCAGAGGUGAAAUUCUUGGAUUUAUUGAAGACUAACUACUGCGAAAGCAUUUGCCAAGGAUGUUUCAUUAAUCAAGAACGAAAGUUAGGGGAUCGAAGACGAUCAGAUACCGUCGUAGUCUUAACCAUAAACUAUGCCGACUAGGGAUCGGAUGAUGUUUAAUUUUUAAUGUACUCAUUCGGUACCG